This 460-nucleotide ribosomal RNA is filed under the name uncultured bacterium. RNAcentral's name for it is "partial 16S ribosomal RNA". It matches the Rfam family "Bacterial small subunit ribosomal RNA", at positions 338 to 795 of the family's 1533-position model. The record is from RNAcentral.
CCUACGGGUGGCAGCAGUGAGGAAUAUUGGUCAAUGGCCGGAAGGCUGAACCAGCCAUGCCGCGUGAAGGUCAGUGCCCUAUGGGCGUUAAACUUCUUUUGUGCGGGAGCAAUAAUGGUCACGUGUGGCCAGACGAGAGUACCGUACGAAUAAGCAUCGCCUAACUCCGGGCCACCAGCCGCGGUAAUGCGGGGGAUGCAAGCGUUAUCCGGAUUUAUUGGGUUUAAAGGGUGCGUAGGCUGUGAGGUAAGUCAUCGGGGAAAUGCCCCCGCUCAACGGGGUGAAGUGCCAUUGAUACUGCCUUGCUGGAAUGCGGAUGCCGUGGGAGGAAUGUGUGGUGUAGCGGUGAAAUGCAUAGAUAUCACACAGAACAUCGAUUGCGAAGGCAUCUCACGAAUCCGCGAUUGACGCUGAUGCACGAAAGCGUGGGUAUCAAACAGGAUUAGAUACCCUGGUAGUC